RNAcentral lists this ribosomal RNA (253 nucleotides) under uncultured bacterium. RNAcentral describes it as "partial 16S ribosomal RNA". It matches the Rfam family "Bacterial small subunit ribosomal RNA", at positions 524 to 776 of the family's 1533-position model. The record is from RNAcentral.
CACGUAGGGCGCGAGCGUUGUCCGGAAUUAUUGGGCGUAAAGAGCUCGUAGGCGGCCAAGCAGGUCCGUUGUGAAAACUGGAGGCUUAACCUCCAGACGUCGACGGAAACCGCGUGGCUAGAGUCCGGAAGAGGAGAGUGGAAUUCCUGGUGUAGCGGUGAAAUGCGCAGAUAUCAGGAAGAACACCAAUGGCGAAGGCAGCUCUCUGGGACGGUACUGACGCUGAGACGCGAAAGCGUGGGGAGCGAACAGG